GGCCCCAUCGUCUAACGGUUAGGACAGCGGGUUUUCAAUCCGCUAACGGGAGUUCGAUUCUCCCUGGGGCUGCCA
Molecule: transfer RNA, 75 nt
Filed under: Candidatus Peribacteria bacterium RIFCSPHIGHO2_01_FULL_51_35
Lineage: Bacteria; Candidatus Peregrinibacteriota; Candidatus Peribacteria
Also listed under: 1 other name
Description: tRNA-Glu
Rfam family: tRNA
About the family: Transfer RNA (tRNA) molecules are approximately 80 nucleotides in length. Their secondary structure includes four short double-helical elements and three loops (D, anti-codon, and T loops). Further hydrogen bonds mediate the characteristic L-shaped molecular structure. tRNAs have two regions of fundamental functional importance: the anti-codon, which is responsible for specific mRNA codon recognition, and the 3' end, to which the tRNAs corresponding amino acid is attached (by aminoacyl-tRNA synthetases). tRNAs cope with the degeneracy of the genetic code in two manners: having more than one tRNA (with a specific anti-codon) for a particular amino acid; and 'wobble' base-pairing, i.e. permitting non-standard base-pairing at the 3rd anti-codon position.
Source: RNAcentral